Molecule: ribosomal RNA, 737 nt
Filed under: Diapus quinquespinatus
Lineage: Eukaryota; Metazoa; Arthropoda; Insecta; Coleoptera; Curculionidae
Description: partial 28S large subunit ribosomal RNA
Rfam family: Eukaryotic large subunit ribosomal RNA
Source: RNAcentral
GAUCCUGGCAAUGAACGUGUGCAAUUUUCUUCUGGUAGGACGUCGUGAUCCGUUGGGUUGUCGGUCUACGGCGAUAAGGUAAAUAGGUCCGCCGGUACGGUGAACUUGUUUUAUCGUUAUUAUCGGCGGAUUUACCCGAUCUGAUCGAAUUGCCCGACGGUAUGCGAAUGGUUAAAGGUCGCUAACGUUUGAGUUUGCGUUAGAGACGUUGGCAAGUGCUAUUAUAUAUUUGGGUCUGUUAAUCGGGGUUUACUCUGAUUACGAUUCAAUAAUGAGUGCUGUUGGCCGCGUUCUUUCUAUUUCUAACGGACCUGCUGUGUUUAUAUAACAGUACCAAUCUACGACGCUACAGCUUUGGGUAAUUUCAGGACCCGUCUUGAAACACGGACCAAGGAGUCUAGCAUGUGCGCAAGUCAUUGAGUUAACGUAUGUGAAACUCAAGGGCGCAAUGAAAGUGAAUAUAAAGAAAAAAGAAGGGACGGUUUCGUGCUUUCUCUUUUUUUUUUUUUGGUGGAGAGAUGAAUAGCGUUGUGUGUUGGUGUGUGUGCUUCUGCACGCUACUCGCUACUCGUUGUUUCGCAUUUCCGGGGCGUUUCGUAUUCUUCUAUAUUAUCUAGUAAUAGAUUUAUAUGGAGAUGAGGCGCACCAUGAGCGUACACGCUGGGACCCGAAAGAUGGUGAACUAUGCCUGGUCAGGACGAAGUCAGGGGAAACCCUGAUGGAUGUCCGUAGCGAUU